AUUGAACGCUGGCGGCACGCCUAACACAUGCAAGUCGAGCGGCAGCGGGAUUCGUAGCAAUACGAAUUGCCGGCGAGCGGCGGACGGGUGAGUAAUACGUAGGAACCUACCCAAGAGAGGGGGAUAACAAGGGAAACUUUUGCCAAUAACGCGGAAUCCCCGGAGGGGAAAGGCGCCGCCAGGUGGGCCCUUUUGGGGGGGCUGCGGCCGAUUAGCUAGUUGGUAGGGUAAGAGCCUACCAAGGCUGUGAUCGGUAACUGGUCUGAGAGGACGACCAGUCACACUGGGACUGAGACACGGCCCAGACUCCUACGGGAGGCAGCAGUGGGGAAUCUUGGACAAUGGGGGCAACCCUGAUCCAGCGAUGCCGCGUGAGUGAAGAAGGCCUUCGGGUCGUAAAGCUCUUUAGGUUGGGAAGAAGCAUAGUGGGGGAUAAUACCGCUGUGUUGACGGUACCGACAGAAUAAGCACCGGCAAACUCUGUGCCAGCAGCCGCGGUAA
Molecule: ribosomal RNA, 501 nt
Filed under: uncultured bacterium
Lineage: Bacteria
Description: partial 16S ribosomal RNA
Rfam family: Bacterial small subunit ribosomal RNA
Source: RNAcentral